This 2036-nucleotide unclassified non-coding RNA is filed under the name Hevea brasiliensis (rubber tree). Lineage: Eukaryota; Viridiplantae; Streptophyta; Magnoliopsida; Malpighiales; Euphorbiaceae. The record is from RNAcentral.
GGAGGGGAAAUGGGCCAUCUUUUAUUCCAAGAAAGUCGUUUAAGAGUUCCAUCAGUACAAGUAUAGACAAAGAAGGGGAGGAAAAUACAGUACAAAAAGGAAAUCUAGAAAAUUUCUGUACCAGAUAUUGACCUAAUUUACUGAAGCCUAACCCUAGACCCUCCUUCCCUCCCCCUCUCAGAUGAUCUGUUAGACAAAGGACUUUGAUUUCUAUUUGUUAUGUAAGUCUAACCCCUGUUAUGUUACAGACCAUUAGUCUACACAUUUUUGAUAAUCCUUAUCCUACUUCUUUCUUUACAAGUAAAAAGAAGGGUGAUGGAAAAUGGAAAUAACACCAUCACAAUUAGAACUUAAACUAAUUCCAGCUACUUCAAAAAAAUCCUAAGCUCAAGAUCAACAGAGAAUCGACAGGAAAAGUACUUCUGAUGGAACACUAACGUCUUCUAGGACUAAUUCCUGCUACUUCAAAAAAAUUCCUAAGCUCAAGAUCAUCUGAGAAUUGGCAGGAAAAGUACUUGUGAUGGAACACUAAUGUCUUCUAGGAUCCAGCUUCUCCCAUUCAUAACGUCCAGGGAGUGGCUUGUCCUUAACAGGGUCAAAGUUAUACUUCUCAAUAAAUUGUCUCUGCUGCUCUUCUUCAGCUCCAGCAAAGAACUCAUCCAUUUCAUGUGCAGUUGGGAUGUGUCUAUGCACGGAGUUCUGUAUUCUCCUGCUAGUUUCAGUUGAGCUGGCAGGUCUAGUAGUCGAACCAGGGGUUAUUAUGGUUUCUGGGUCCCUUAUCAAACUGCAUGGAGUGGAUUCCCUAGUGCUCCUGCCACCAAGAAGACAAACAUGAUACAGAACUAUAGACAAGUUAAACCGCGUAAAACUAGAAGGACAAAUAACAUCAACGAUACAAACUCAUAGCACAAAACUGUAUUUUGUAGCAAGUAUAACAAAUAACAAAAACAUGAAAGAGAUCAUACGAGAACAAAAACAUAAAAAAGAUCAUAGAUUACAAAAACAUGAAAAUGAUCAUACCAUUGAAAAGCAUCUAAAAGUUAACAACUCAAAUUUUAAAAGCCCAUUAAAGAAAAUCUACAGGUAUUUCUCGUAAUCCCUGCAAGGUAACAAGAAACUAUCACAAACACAAAAGACACUUGAAAAAGCUUAAGGCAAAGGACAUUAUCAUUCUACAGAAAUAUCAGCGAGACCUUUUUUUCAGUUCAGCCACAAUAACAUGAGUGGGGGAAAAAGCCUUCAUUAUUCAGUCAAACAAAAGAUUUCCUCUACUAAAAGAAUAACGAGAAAAAAAAAAGCAGCAGGUAAAAUGUUACAGCUAAAUAAAGAAAAUAAAGAAAUUCCAUCAAAGUAUCCCAUUCCAAACAUAUAUUACAGAAAAAAUAGAUAUUAAAGUUAAGCAUCAAAACAAGAUAACCACACUUUAAGCAUAUUUAUAUUCAACUAUAACCUAAUGCAAACUAAUAAUGUUAAAAAAUUGCAAAGGCAUCCACUGACAAAGAAACCAACAGAAAACCUUCAUAUCUUGUAAUUAAAUAAUGCAAUGGGAUCCCUAACUAAGCACCUAAUGUCACACACGCGCACGCGCACGCGCACGCGCACGCAUUCGCCAACACGCACACGCAUUCGCCAAUAUUCUAGAAAUGUCAACCAAAUUGAAGGAAUGAGCAAAAUUAAUCACAAGGCAAGCUGCCAUAUUUCAAGGAACAGAGUAUAAUGAGAUUUAAAAACUUUACAGAUAAAAAAAACCAUCAGCAAUGAUGUCACAAUAAUUUUUUUGCUCUGCAGAUAAAAGUUCCAAAAGCAAAGCAAAUUAGAAGAUUUAAGUCAUUUUCAAACACAGGCCCGCUGCAGAAGCAAACAAGACUACAAUUCACUUAGCCAGCAAUAAAAAUUUAAUACAUUAAAACUUCGAAACAAACAACAGCUCAAGUAAAAGACUGGGGGAGGGGGAGGGGGAGGGGGAAGGGGGAGGGGGAGAGAAUCCAAUUGAUAAAUUCAUAUUAAUCUACCUAAAAAGUGCUGCAAACAUAGUG